GGGGGGGGGGGAUUUUCUAAGAGGCAAUAUAUUUUUUUUUGUACACCUAUAGAAGAAAUUUUUUUUUUUCUCACUUGAUGGUUGGAAAUAUUUUUUUUUUAAAGGGGGCCUACAGUAAUUUUUAGUCAAGUAAGUAUUGUUUACAUUUUUUGUUAUUGUCGCUACUUGACAUGCGCACCACAGUAUGCAUGCGUUUUCUGUGUGCGAAAGUACUCAUACUCAUGGAUACUGCAUGUAAGAUACAGCCAAACGAAUCUCCGUGGAGUCCCC
Non-coding RNA from Paramuricea clavata, 270 nucleotides. The record is from the annotation of a GenBank genome assembly. NCBI's taxonomy places the organism in Eukaryota, Metazoa, Cnidaria, Anthozoa, Malacalcyonacea, Plexauridae.